CGCCCUUCCUACGGGAGGCAGCAGUGAGGAAUAUUGGACAAUGGGUUAGCGCCUGAUCCAGCCAUCCCGCGUGAAGGAUGACGGCCCUAUNGGUUGUAAACUUCUUUUGUGCAGGGAUAAACCUACUCUCGUGGGAGAGCGAAGGUNCNCGAANNCNC
This 158-nucleotide ribosomal RNA is filed under the name uncultured bacterium. RNAcentral describes it as "partial 16S ribosomal RNA". It matches the Rfam family "Bacterial small subunit ribosomal RNA", at positions 331 to 491 of the family's 1533-position model. The record is from RNAcentral.